This 270-nucleotide long non-coding RNA is filed under the name Malus domestica (apple). RNAcentral's name for it is "long non-coding RNA (MDOM_LNC008772)". The record is from RNAcentral. Lineage: Eukaryota; Viridiplantae; Streptophyta; Magnoliopsida; Rosales; Rosaceae.
UGAAUCAUCAAAAUCAGAAACAUGUUAGUAUAAAUUAAAAUUAAAAUUGGAGAAGAUGGCUUACUUUCUUUUUUCCGACACAAACUCAAUGACAAACACCACAUCUUUGAACAUUUCCGGGACUUUGAACUUGGCCAGGUUUACUAUGAUGGUUGUGGCUUUGUCCCGUGUCAUCCAAACUCAACUGCUUUGGGCUUGAUUGUCUCAUGCACAACCUCUUGGAUGUAUUCUUGAUAUGCUUCAACCACUUCAUUUUCUUGAAUCCCUUUU